AGUUAACAUUUAAAAUUAUGUCUUGAAAACAUAAAAAAAAAUUAAUAUUUUAUUAACUU
This 59-nucleotide transfer RNA is filed under the name Bambusiphaga taibaishana. Its description in RNAcentral is "tRNA-Ser". Lineage: Eukaryota; Metazoa; Arthropoda; Insecta; Hemiptera; Delphacidae. The record is from RNAcentral.